Molecule: ribosomal RNA, 402 nt
Filed under: uncultured bacterium
Lineage: Bacteria
Description: bacterial SSU rRNA
Rfam family: Bacterial small subunit ribosomal RNA
Source: RNAcentral
UGGGGAAUCUUGCACAAUGGGGGCAACCCUGAUGCAGCGACGCCGCGUGAGCGAUGAAGCCCUUCGGGGCGUAAAGCUCUUUCGACCGGAACGAUAAUGACGGUACCGGGAGAAGAAGCUGCGGCUAACUACGUGCCAGCAGCCGCGGUAAUACGUAGGCAGCAAGCGUUGUUCGGAGUUACUGGGCGUAAAGAGUGCGUAGGCGGUUUUCUAAGUUCGGUGUGAAAUCUCCCGGCUUAACUGGGAGGGUGCGCCGAAGACUGGGAAGCUGGAGUGUGGGAAAGGCAGGCGGAAUUCCUGGUGUAGCGGUGAAACGCGUAGAUAUCAGGAGGAACACCGGCGGUGUAGACGGCUUGCUAGACCAUAACUGACGCUGAGGCACGAAAGCGUGGGUAGCAAACA